RNAcentral lists this transfer RNA (60 nucleotides) under Schyzocotyle nayarensis. RNAcentral describes it as "tRNA-Arg". Lineage: Eukaryota; Metazoa; Platyhelminthes; Cestoda; Bothriocephalidea; Bothriocephalidae. The record is from RNAcentral.
AACUACAAAAUAAUUCAUGUUUCGGCCAUGAAAAUGGUUAAAUUUUUAACCUUGUAGUUA